UUUACACGCGUUAGACGAACGGUCUGGAAAGUCCGACGAUACAGGGUGAUAGUCCCGUAGUUGACGACGUGUGUUCAGUGAAAUCGAGUAGGGCGGGACACGUGAUAUCCUGUCUGAAUAUGGGGGGACCAUCCUCCAAGGCUAAAUACUACUGACUGACCGAUAGUGAACCAGUACCGUGAGGGAAAGGCGAAAAGAACCCCUGUGAGGGGAGUGAAAUAGAACCUGAAACCGUGUACGUACAAGCA
RNAcentral lists this ribosomal RNA (248 nucleotides) under Vibrio parahaemolyticus. RNAcentral describes it as "partial 23S ribosomal RNA". It matches the Rfam family "Bacterial large subunit ribosomal RNA", at positions 319 to 572 of the family's 2925-position model. Lineage: Bacteria; Pseudomonadati; Pseudomonadota; Gammaproteobacteria; Vibrionales; Vibrionaceae. The record is from RNAcentral.